AUGAGCGCCUCACUGGCUGGACUGAAGGUGGAGGUGAAGUACUUACAGAAAGAAAAUGAAGUAUUAACAGCUAAAACACGAGAACUGGAGCUGCUGAAGCAACAGGACCAAGCAAAUAAAAAAGAACUGGAGUCACUAAAGAGAGAGCUGGACAAGUUGAAGCAACAGGACCAAGCUCAUGAAGGAGAACUGAUCACCAUUAAAGCCUCCGCAAACAUCACUGAAAACCAAGUGGAGGCUCUGAGUAGAGAAGGAGAAGUGAAACAAGUGGCUUUCUCAGCCUCUCUGAUGGACUCGGGCUCAGGAGAUGUUGGACCUUUUAAUGCACAAACAGCUCUGGUCUUCAGACAUGUUGUUACUAAUAUUGGAAAUGCCUACGGCCCAAAUACAGGUACUCAGUUUCACUAAAUACUAUUAACACAUCGAUCUUCUGCUACUCCAGUGAGAAUCAAGGGGAACUGGGUUUUUUUCUCCAGUCCAUCAUGGACAUGUCACACCAACCCUCACUCCCACUUAGUGAAAAGUUAGACUAGCCACGUAACCUAACAUUCAUGUUUUCAUUAAAACAUUUUACAGGUUUUUUCACUGCACCUGUGAGAGGAGUCUUAUCACUUUGUGUUCCACAUAAAUGGACAUGGACAUGGACAUGCUUUACAUGCUACAGGAGCUGUGUUGUUUAAGAAUGGAGAAAAGACCUUCAUUGCAUACGAGCGUCAGCCUUCCUAUUUUGCUAGUACGACCAACAGUGUCAUACUGCUGUUGAAGGUUGGAGAUGCUGUGUUUCUGCGUCAGUGUGAAAAUACAAGGGUUCAUGACAGUCACAACCAUCACACCACCUUCAGUGGUCACCUGAUUUUCAUCAUGUGAGCAACAGAUGUUAGAAAAUCAGAUGUUUUAUUAGAUCAUUUCACACAUUCAGCCAUUUCAUAAUGUAACCCAGGCCAUCACUGCAUCAACCUGAUGAUGCAAAUUUGUACAUAUUCAUAAUGUAUACACCAGACGUGCGGACUCGAGUCACAUGACUUAGACUCGAGUCAAUAUUUUAAUGACUUCUGACUUGAUAAAAUCUAUAAAGACUUACGACUUGACUGACUUGAACGCCAAUGACUUGCAACUUGAAUCGACUUGCAUCUGUUGACUUGAUGAUUACUUAAGCAUAUUUGAUAUUUUGGCACAAAAAUGGCACGACAUGGACAAAAAUCAUAAAUCAAUGUUCGCUCUGGGUUUGAUCUUGUACUGCUAAAUGCAGCAGCACUUUGUUUAGAAUCAGUUUCAGUUGCACUUUCUGCUUGUUUGAACAAACAAAUAAAACUUUAAGAAGCUUUAUUUCCGGAGUUUAUUUAUUAUCAUCGUAAUUAAAUUGAAGUUGAACAGAUUACUUGAAUAUGACUUGAAAAUUCAAAGUUAAGGACUUGGACUCCCACAUCAUUGACUUUGGACUCACCUUGGACUUGGUUGUCUUUGACUUGGACUUUAUUUGAUACUUGACUGGAAAGACGUGUGACUUACU
This 1510-nucleotide long non-coding RNA is filed under the name Nothobranchius furzeri (turquoise killifish). RNAcentral describes it as "lncRNA (ENSNFUG00015015795.1)". The record is from RNAcentral. Lineage: Eukaryota; Metazoa; Chordata; Actinopteri; Cyprinodontiformes; Nothobranchiidae.